Zingiber officinale is the source of this 316-nucleotide long non-coding RNA. RefSeq lists it as uncharacterized. The transcript has 2 exons. Lineage: Eukaryota; Viridiplantae; Streptophyta; Magnoliopsida; Zingiberales; Zingiberaceae. The record is from RefSeq and is a predicted model, not a curated record.
UUGAGAGUGAUUAUGUUAAAUUCCAAAAGAAGAUGGAACUUGUGAAGACAAAAUUGUAUAAACUUUUUGAUCAAUAUUCCAAUACUAGCAAGACAAGUUCUUCACAAUGCCAACCACAAUGUUCUUCUACCACAAAUACACAUCAGCAAAGUGUAGGAGGAGUUAAAGGAAAAAACAAAAGAAUCUUUGAUGAAAUAAUGGCAUAUGAGAGCCAAACAAUUACAAGUGCUGGAAAAUCUCAAUUGGAUCUUUAUUUGGAAGAGCCAAAACUUGAAUUUGCAUAUUAUCAAGAUUUGAAUGUUUUGGAGCAUUGGAA